This 1469-nucleotide long non-coding RNA is filed under the name Homo sapiens (human). RNAcentral describes it as "non-protein coding lnc-AK6-6:3". The record is from RNAcentral. Lineage: Eukaryota; Metazoa; Chordata; Mammalia; Primates; Hominidae.
AAAGCCAGCUGGGCUCCUGAGUCCGGUGGGUACUUGGAGAACUUACUACGUCUAGCUGGAGGAUUGUAAAUGCACCAAUCAGCAUGCUGUGUCUAGCUCAAGAACUCAAGCUCCAUGAGGAGAUGUUUCAUUGUCGAGAGCAGUCAUGAUGGCCUGCACUCCACACAAUGCAACAGAGUGAAAGAGCAGGUUCUGCUUCUUUGGUGUAGUCCUGAAGCUUCCUAAGAAACUUCACAUCAGGUGAUGGAUAGGAGCAACCCUGUAAAACCAGCCUUAGACUAUUUUUCAAACAGGCUGGUGAAUUACCAGAUCUCCGUCAAGUGCAGUAACCAGUUCAAGUUGGAAGUGUGUCUUUUGAAUGCAGAAAACAAAGUCGUGGACAACCAGGCUGGGACCCAGGGCCAGCUGAAGGUGCUGGGUGCCAACCUCUGGUGGCCGUACCUGAUGCACGAACACCCCGCCUACCUGUACUCGUGGGAGGAUGGUGAUUGCUCACACCAAAGCCUUGGACCCCUCCCAGCCUGUGACCUUUGUGACCAACUCCACCUACGCAGCAGACAAGGGGGCUCUGUAUGUGGAUGUGAUCCGUGUGAACAGCUACUACUCUUGGUAUCGCAACUACGGGCACCUGGAGUUGAUUCAGCUGCAGCUGGCCGCCCAGUUUGAGAAUUGGUGUAAGACAUCACAAUCCCAUUAUUCAGAGCGCGUAUGGAGUGGAAACGCUUGUAGGGCUUCACCAGGUAAGCGGUGUUGAACUUUCUGCUUGUGUAUUCUCUCUGGGCAGAGAUGCCACUUGCCUCCCCCACCAUGCCAUCUCUGAAGAAUAUUACAGACCAUUUUGGAGCAUGGUGAAUAAGAAAUUUUCACCUUAGGAGUUCAGUUGAAUAGUCAUUUUUAUAUUUGUGACUGCAAGUCACUCUUAGGGGCUGUACUUCCUUAGUACUGGUAGCAUUAUUAUCCAAUGGACUUUUAUAGCUUUCAUUAGGUUUUCUUUUGUUUUUGUUCUUUAAAGAACGUUUUACUUAUCUUAGUAUUUCAUUUUUCAUCUAUAUUAUGAGGCAGUAAGAGUCUUCUGUUUUUCCAAAGUUGAGACUGCUUUAUAUUUAUUUCGUAUUGUCUACAGCUGUAGUGUUCAAUACAUUAGCCACUAGCCACAUGUGGUUAUUUAAAUAAGAUAAAAUAAAAAUUGGCCGGGCGUGGUGGCUCACGCCGGUAAUCCCAGCACUUUGGGAGGCCGAGGCGGGCAGAUCAUUAGGUCAGGAGAUCGAGACCAUCCUUACUAAGACGGUGAACCCCCAUCUCUAUUAAAAAUACAAAAAAUUAGCCGGGCGUGGUGGCGGGCGCCUGCAGUCCCAGCUACUCAGGAGGCUGAGGCAGGAGAAUGGCGUGAACCUGGGAGGCAGAGUUUGCAGUGAGCCGAGAUGGCGCCACUGCACUCCAGCCUGGGGGACAGAGCGAGACUCCAUCUC